ACAAAUAAGAAUAAUUUAAAUGCGUCAAAUCUAAAAUAUGGUGUAGAGUAAAUAUAAGCACAGGCUCAUAGGCUUGACAUUUAUCCUGCUUGAAUUCGUUCUAAGAAACGCACACAUCUUCAUAAGGACUAAACUUUCAUCUGUGAAUAUUAAAUAUUUUAAUUAGCCUAAAGUGUUUUCCUUUCAUUUUCCCCGACUGCAGUCAAAUAUAACAAAACGGUGAGGCAAAGCUGACGUCUAUUCGCGAAAAUGUGCUUUGAUGCGCUUGUUUGAAAACUUGUGAUUAAAGCGCCAUUCAGCGGACAUGUAAACUUGCAAAACAUCACUAUAUUUACUUGUAAAACCAUGUCCUACAUAGGAGUUUGUUUGACCUGUUAGCCAUCUUCCAUGUUUUAGACCUCUGGCAGAGGUGUCUUUGGGGGACAUUGGUCAGCAGCACAAGAAACGUCACAGAAGUCCUCCAGCAAAAUAGAUGAGGAGGGCCUAGAACUUGCAGUUUGCCAGCAUGGUGUUCUUCUUUGUGCCCUUAAUAUGUUCAGGGGGAGGUUUUUGCUUACCCCUGUACCUCCAGAAAAAAAAUGGCUUGUAAGCCGGUGAAAUUUUUUGCUAUGGAUGUUGCGUGCAAGUACUGGCCUUACCUCCAGAGAGGGAACGAGAGAUGCCCUGAGCUUCAGGAUCUGCUCUCAAUGAAGCCAUUUCUAUCAGUGUUUCAUGCCAAAGCCCACGACUUCAAAUGUGAGGUAAAAUGGAGUGGGGCAUACCAGGAGGGGGCUGGUUUGACUCUUGGGGAGGAGGUGGAGCAAUGCAAUGCCUUCCUCUCGAGGAUUGCUGUUACGACAAAGCACAUGUCAAAAGCAGGACGCACAGACAUGCUCACAGUCAUGGCCAUGUGCUGGAAUCAGCAAAAGUUUAACAACUUGGCUUCAACACUUGCCUGCCGAUAUCAAAAGGCCACAAUAGCUCUGCAAAGACAGUUGCAUAAUUUGGAGGCCAUGAAAACUGAAAUGGCAGUUACAGAUGAUCAACUGGAGGGCUGGAUCACUGAUGUCAAUGAGUGGGCAGAAGCAACAACAUCCCCAAAUGAUGCUGAUGUUGCUGUUGUGGCCAGACGAAUUGAGGAGCUGGUCACCAAGGAGGUCCCAACGUCUUUAUAAAGACAUUGAUGGCUGCAAAGGUCGUGUCCGGAUACGCCAAAAGAUCAGGGAGGAAAAGAAAUGUUUAAUUCUGUGGUGGAUCAAUAUAACACCAUGGUCCCUAAUGCAGAAAACCUGGACUUGGACACCAUACUUUCAGACGACACCCUUUGGCCAUGGCAGCUUCCACAUGGUGACUCCGUAGGUCUAAGGACAAAGAGAAAGGCAUUUGACACAGUGAUGGCAGUAAGGAGACUUGAGGAGGAGAAGAGGAUUCUCAUUGCUGAGAUGGAAAAACACUGGAAAUCUCUUUGCACCGUGCAGACACUCCAAAGGAGAUGACAUCCCAGCUUUGCAGUGGGACAUCAAGUAUGUAUUUUAAGUUAUACUUGACAUGCAUUAUAUUUACCAGUAUGUUUCUGAAAGUCUGUAAUAUUUUUUCCCCGUAUAUAAGGUGAGAUGUGGGGCCUGAGUAAUGAGGGAAUCCAAGGUCUGCAGAGCUUAAUGAUGAAGAACACACAAGCCAUCAACAAAAUACUGAAGUGCAACAUCCAAUUUCCGUACAUGUGUUUACAUCAUUGUUUAGAUAACUCUCAAAAGAUCUUUUGUUCAGUCCAGUAUCAAUGAUUUCUAGAAAAAUACAUUUUGACAUGAGUUUCUUCAUGGUCGAACUCACAUGGCCUUUAGCACAGAUAAGUCUUCUCAAUAAAAUUCUUCUAAGCCCAGUAUACA
This is a long non-coding RNA of Cyprinus carpio (common carp), 1865 nucleotides long. The record is from Ensembl. Lineage: Eukaryota; Metazoa; Chordata; Actinopteri; Cypriniformes; Cyprinidae.